AUUGAACGCUGGCGGCAGGCUUAACACAUGCAAGCCGAGCGGGGGAAGGUAGCUUGCUACCGGACCUAGCGGCGGACGGGUGAGUAAUGCUUAGGAAUCUGCCUAUUAGUGGGGGACGACAUCUCGAAAGGGAUGCUAAUACCGCAUACGUCCUACGGGAGAAAGCAGGGGAUCUUCGGACCUUGCGAUAAUAGAUGAGCCUAAGUCGGAUUAGCUAGUUGGUGGGGUAAAGGCCUACCAAGGCGACGAUCUGUAGCGGGUCUGAGAGGAUGUUCCGCCACACUGGGACUGAGACACGGCCCAGACUCCUACGGGAGGCAGCAGUGGGGAAUAUUGGACAAUGGGGGGAACCCUGAUCCAGCCAUGCCGCGUGUGUGAAGAAGGCCUUAUGGUUGUAAAGCACUUUAAGCGAGGAGGAGGCUACUUUAGUUAAUACCUAGAGAUAGUGGACGUUACUCGCAGAAUAAGCACCGGCUAACUCUGUGCCAGCAGCCGCCGUAA
RNAcentral lists this ribosomal RNA (501 nucleotides) under uncultured bacterium. RNAcentral describes it as "partial 16S ribosomal RNA". It matches the Rfam family "Bacterial small subunit ribosomal RNA", at positions 30 to 523 of the family's 1533-position model. The record is from RNAcentral.